RNAcentral lists this ribosomal RNA (509 nucleotides) under uncultured bacterium. Its description in RNAcentral is "bacterial SSU rRNA". It matches the Rfam family "Bacterial small subunit ribosomal RNA", at positions 22 to 518 of the family's 1533-position model. The record is from RNAcentral.
CGUCAGGACGAACGCUGGCGGCGGUGCUUAACACAUGCAAGUCGAACGAGGAGUAUACUUUGGAAGGGCUUCGGCCGGAACGGGGGAAGUAUUCGAGGUGGCGGACGGGUGAGUAACGCGUGAACAAUCUGUCCCAGACAGGGGGAUAACACUUGGAAACAGGUGCUAAUACCGCAUAAGACCACGGGAUCGCAUGUUCCUGAGGUAAAAAGGUGCAAACCGGUUUGGGGUGAGUUCGCGUCCGAUUAGAUAGUUGGUGAGGUAACGGCCCACCAAGUCGACGAUCGGUAGCCGACCUGAGAGGGUGAUCGGCCACAUUGGAACUGAGAGACGGUCCAAACUCCUACGGGAGGCAGCAGUGGGGAAUAUUGGGCAAUGGGCGAAAGCCCUGACCCAGCAACGCCGCGUGAGUGAAGAAGGCUUUCGGGUUGUAAAGCUCUGUUAUAGGGGACGAAGGAAGUGACGGUACCCUAUAAGGAAGCCCCGGCUAACUACGUGCCAGCCGCAGC